GCACAAGGUGUUUAUGCUGAUUUGGAUGGAGUUAUUUACUUUCUUCGACUACUGGAGGGAAUUUGGAUCAAGGUGGAGAUUGUUAAAUUGUGUUCCAAAUCAUACUGUGUUGGACUAAGCGUAUUACAACCGGUGUGGGCCUUUGCGUUGACGUCGACGCGUACGAGUACAACUCGUUUACUUGUCCUCCAAGGACUCUCAUGUAUUGCCCUCUUAUAUACCCCAUGUAGUCGCACCUCAGACGGCCUGUCCUCUCGUGCUUGUAAUACUCCUCCUCAUAGUGAUUGCGUCUUCAUGCGUCCGUGGUUUUCUCCCGCAAGGGUUUCCAUGUAAAAAUCCGUGUCUCUCUGUCUCGUUUAUUUCUCGUUAUUAUCUAACACAUACACUAGUAACAUAUGUAUGUUACUAGUCUAACUUAUUCUCCACUAUAACUAGCCUUACUCGUACGCGGUACGCGCCUUCCAACUUUUUUGCCAUGUGUAGGCUAUGUCAUAAGCCUAAUCUAUGCACUGUGAAUCAGAAAGCCGAUGCUUCUCUGUUGAAAAGAAAAGGGGCCGACGAGUGAUCAUCGAUGACAACAUGUCAAAGGUUACACUACUCACAAGAUUCCAAGACACCACCCGGUUUAGCAUAAAAACAGUGUUCACAUUGCUUUCGUUUCGCAGCCAAAACCUUCCGCACAAGAGUAUGGUAUGUAUCUGACCGUCCUCCACUUCCAACGCACUUUUGUGGUUCUUUUGUUUGCUUUUCUUUGCCUUGUUUAGGGUUCGUUUGGGGAGGAGAUAAACUGUUCGUUGAUUUCUUUGUACCGAAAAUCUUCUAGCCUGAUCUGGCUAUCAGAUAACAUUGAUAGAUCAUUCGGAUCGGAGUAGGCUAGAUCAUCCGGUGAACCUACCUUCUCCAGGUGCGGACGAGCUCGAUCCAGCAUCGGCCAUGGUGAUGGCGGAGUGUGGGUGAGGUGGUGGCGGCGGAGCUUCCCGUCGGCCUAGCACAAACCCUAGAUCGGAUUGGUGUGUUGGUGGUGUUGUGGUGCACAGUCAACCUUGUGAUGCAUGCCCCGGCACCCCAGCUCUUUAUAUUGCGCUGGCGACAGGGCCCAACCAACCAUGGUUUGGUUGGGCACCCCCGAUCAGGGCGCGAGUCAGGGGCCCGUUCGACCCGUUGGAUUCGAAUGGGAUAGAGAUCAAUCUAACAUUCUCCCCCUUGAUCUCAACUUUACUUUUAACCUUAUACUUUCUAUUUUAUUUGUUUCAUCACAUAUUGGUACAUAGAGCAUGUUUCAUCGUCGCAGCUCAAUUGCCGAUAGAAUCAUUCAGCUACAACAUACGUUUUGUUCAGAAACAAAUUCUGUUCCUUUUGGGCCUAUCCAGGAAUCAUAAGACUUUCCCUUAAACCCAUGCCAGCUAAGUGUUCCUUGAACACAUUGGGUGGUAAGCCUUUCGUUAGCGGAUCCGCAAGCAUAUCUUUUGUCUUUAUAUGCUCGAGACUUAUAGUUUGAUCCUGGAUUUUAUCUUUCACAACAUAAUACUUUAUCUCUAUUGUUUUGGCAGCAUUACUCGACUUGUUAUUGUGAGCGUAAAGUACCGCGGGUUGAUUGUCGCAGUACAUCUUUAGUGGUUUGUGAAUACAAUCUACCACUUUCAAGUCGGGUACAAAUUUCUUUAGCCAUAUCGCCUGCCCCGUGGCUUCGAAGCAUGCUAUGAAUUCUGCAUACAUCGUGGAUGAUGCAACUAUCGACUGUUUGGAGCUUUUCCAUGAAAUAGCUCCCCCAGCGAGGGUGAAUACGUAUCCUGACGUGGAUUUUCUAUCAUCUUUGUCCCCCGCAAAAUCUGCGUCUAAAUACCCUUUUAUCUCUAGGGAAUCAGAUCUCAUGUAUGUUAGCAUGUAGUCCUUCGUGCCUUGCGCAUAACGCAGUGCUUUCUUUAUCAUCUUCCAGUGCUCUAUGCCUGGAUUCUCUUGAUAUCUACUGAGUACUCCGGUGAUAAAGGCUAAGUCAGGGCGAGUGCACACUUGUGCAUACUGCAAGCUGCCAACUACCGAAGCAUAUGGUACUCCUUUCAUUUGAUCGAUCUAGUACUGGUUUUUGGGACAUUGGAUUUCCCAAAACUAUCGCCCUUAACUAUAGGAGCAGGUGUGGCUUUACUUGCAUGCAUAUUAUACUUUUUAAGAACCUUUUCUAAAUAUGCUUUCUGCGAUAGUCCUAAAACUCCAUUGUUUCUAUCUCGGUGAAUUUCUAUGCCCAAAACAUAUGAUGCUUCACCAAGAUCUUUUAUGUCAAAAUUCGAGGAUAAGAACUUCUUUGUUUCUUGUAGUAGACUAACAUCACUGCUAGCAAGCAGAAUGUCAUCCACAUACAAGAUUAGGAAAAUAUAUUUCCCAUUUUUAAACUUUGUAUAAAUGCAUUUAUCCUCAAUAUUUUCUUUAAAUCCAAAACUUUUAAUCGUUUGAUUAAACUUUAAAUACCACUGCCUAGAGGCUUGCUUUAACCCAUAAAUGGAUUUCUUGAGGCGGCAUCCCAUAUUUUCCUUGCCUUCCAUGAUAAAACCCUUGGGUUGUUUCAUGUAGACAUUUUCUUUUAAAUCUCUGUUGACAAAUGUCGUCUUUACAUCCAUUUGAUGUAACUCUAAAUCAAAAUGAGCAACUAAUGCCAUUAUGAUUCUGAAGGAAUCCUUACAUGAGACCGGAGAAAAUGUCUCUUUGUAAUCUAUCCCUUCUCUUUGUGUAAAUCCUUUUGCCACGAGUCGUGCUUUAUAUUUUUCUAUAUUCCCUUUAGAGUCAUACUUAAUUUUGUAGACCCAUUUGCAGCCUACUGAUUUGGCUCCUUUAGGAAUUUCCUGUAAGUCCCAAACAUCUUUGGAACUCAUUGAUUUCAUCUCGUCUUCCAUUGCCUUCAUCCACAUUGAUGAAUGAGGGCUUCUCAUGGCUUCUUCAUAUGAGGUGGGAUCUUUUUCCAUAUGAACCAUUUCUGUAUUAUAAACUUUAAAGUCAGUAGAAAUAGCUGACUUUCUUGGUCUUGUAGACCUUCUAAGGGCCUCAGUUUCUGGUACAUUCCGUGCCUCAACUUCUGGCACUUCUUCUAAAAUUUGCUGCUGCACCUCCCUUUCAUGCUCAACAACGGGUUCAGUCGGCUCCUGACAGACAGGUUCCGGGUCUGCCCCCAUAGUUGUCAUGGGUGAAGUUGCAACUGGUAGUGAGAAAAAUGGCUCCUGGAUCAUCGGAUUAGGUGCAUACACCCUCUUCUCCUCAAGAUCAAUUUUCCGAGCUACCAAGCUCCCCCUCAUCAUUUCGUCCUCUAAGAAGACGGCAUGUCUCGUUUCUACAAACUUUGUAUAUCUGUCUGGGCAGUAGAAACGAAAACCCUUUGAUCUGUCUGGAUAGCCAAUGAAGUGGCAACUCACUGUUUUGGGAUCUAACUUUCCAAUGUUUGGAUUAAACAUUUUGGCCUCAGCAGGGCACCCCCACACCCUGAAGUGUUGUAGGGAUGGCACCCUUCCUAUCCAUAGCUCGUACGGUGUUUUGGGCACCGACUUGCUUGGUACUCUAUUGAGAAUGUGAAUGGCGUUUUUAAGCGCCUCCAUCCAUAAUCCCAAUGGCAAGUUGGAAUAACUCAUCAUGCUGCGCACCAUAUCCAUAAGUGUACGGUUGCGCCUUUCAGCUACUCCAUUUUGCUGAGGUUCGCCCGGCAUUGAAUACUGGGCAACUAUGCCAGUCUCCUACAAGAACUUUGCAAAAUGUCCAGGGACUUGGCCAUAUGGAGUGUGCCGACCGUAGUACUCCCCCCCAUGGUCGGACCUAACUAUAUUUAUUCUUUUAUCAUGCUGAUUUUCAACUUCAGCUUUGAAUAUUUUAAAUUUAUCCAACGCUUCAGAUCUUUCUUUGAUUGGAUAAAUAUAUCCAUAGUGAGAGUAAUCAUCUGUGAAUGUUAUAAACGAGUCAUAUCCAUCCACACUUUUCACCGGAAAUGGUCCACAAAUAUCAGUGUGGAUGAUUUCUAGUGUGCCUGUGCUAUGGAUUGCACCUUUUUUGAUUUGUUUUACGUACUUUCCUUUAACGCAAUCUAUGCAUUGUUCUAAGUCUGAAAAUUCUAACGGAGGAAGAAUUUCACUUUUGACUAAUCUUUCUAUUCUCCCCUUUGAAAUAUGGCCCAAGCGACAGUGCCAUAAUUUCGAUGAGUCGAAUGUUCUUUUUCUUUUCUUUUGCUCUUUAUUUGACGCGGAAACAUUUUCUUUCACAUUGCAAAUGGAAUAAACUUUUUCACGAAGUGAUAACAAAUAAAGCUCAUCAUGUAGUAAAGCAUCACCCACAUAAGCAUUAUUAUACCAAAUGGCACACUUGCCAUGUCAAAAAUAACAUUCAUAAUUAUCUUUGUCCAAACACGAAACACUAAUUAAGUUUCUAUGACAUGAUGGAACAAAUAAAACAUCUCUAAGUAGAAGAUUGAAUCCGCCAGCUAACUCCAAGGAGAUGUCACCGACAGCUUCAACUUCUGCUUGAACUCCGUUUGCCACUUCAAUGCGUCUUUCGCUUCUUAGCGUAGUUCGCGUCGAAUGGAAUCCCUGUAAAGAAUUUGCAACAUGAACAGUUGCUCCUGAAUCAAUCCAUCAAGUGGAUUUUGAAAACUGUGUAUACAAGGAUUCAUUUACAAAUGAAACUAUAUUGUUACCUCUUUUUGCCAUGACUGACUUCAGCCAAGCAGCGCAGUCUUUCUUGUAAUGCCCUUUCUGCUUGCAGUGGAGACAAGUGUCUUUGUCCACUGAGAAAGGUUGUUGCUAAUGCUGAUGCUGAUAAGGGGCUUUUCCAUUCUUUGAAGGAGAACUUUUGUUGUUUUGACAGUAGUUCUUUUUCUUGUAAUCCUUCACAUAGUUGAGUGAACCACCAUGUGCGGCUUUGAGUCUGUCCUCUUCUUGGACACAUAUUGCUAUUGUAUUUUCAAUGUCCCAUGUUCCAGGUGACAUAUUAUAGUUUACAACAAAAGUUGCAAACUCCUUUGGCAGUGAAGCCAUGACCAGGUGGACCAGGAGCGCUGGUUUGAUCUCCAGAUCCGCAUCCAUGGGCUUGAGCUUUGCUGCCAUAUUGCUCAUCCUGAGGAUGUGCUCUCUUAUUCCAUGACUACCACCUGUGUAGCGUUCUGUCACCAGUUGCUCUAACACCUGGGUGGCGUAUAUCUUUGAAGAGCCAGUGAACUGGCUCUUUAUCUGUGUAAGCAACUCCCCUGCGGAAGUGCACUCUGUAAUGGAGCCCACAAUGGCGCUCUCAAUUGUAUUCUUAUAAAUGCCAUGCACUUUUUGUUUGCAUUGACCCACUUUUGGUUAUCUAUGAGGUAGGACUGCUCCAAAGGAGCAUAGUCCCCCUUCUUUUUAGCCCAUGCAGCAUCAUCAUCAGUGGCCUCUCUUACUGGCUUUGUGGGUCUGACCGGCUGUGGUUUCUCCACAACCCAGUCAAGAUCAGCACAAACAAAUGCCAGUUCAACUUUCUUCCUCCACUCAGUGUGGUUGUCACCGCUAAGUGUCGGAACUUCUUUUAGGCAACUCAUCAAGUGAAAGCCUCCUGAAAUCACAAUUUAAGUGACAUCAGUAAAACAAUCAUAUGCAAUAAUCUAACGUUGGUCAAAUUAAAACAUACAAUUGUCUAUGCAAUUAAAUCUAUAUUACCGUUGGGCAAAAUAUUAGAAAUAAAUGCACCUUUAAAUUUUAAUAAUAAAACAUGACCAUGUUAUUAAACAACGUUGGUCAUAAAAAAUAACAUAAUCAUAUUCAUUUCAAUAAUCACUUUAACAUGCUCUUAAAAAACAUAAUUCUAUCUAAACUUUUAUUUUCUUUGUUAAAGAGCACUAUUAAUUAUAUACGCAGCGGAAAAACGUGAAUAAAAAUUCAUGAACUUUUUACUUUUUACAGAAAACUUUUCUUUGAUUAAAUAAAAGAUUCAUUAACUUUAUUAUUUUCUCUCUAAAAUUCAUGAACAUUUAUUUUUCUGAAAUUUUUCUAUCUUAAUUUUCAGAAACUUUUCUGUUUACUAUUCUAUUUUCUAAACAAAAAUUUCCGUUGGAAAAAUAAUUACAUAGAAAAUCUAUUAGAAUACUGCCCAAAUAAAAACUGGACAGAAACUAUUAAAACGAAAAGAAAAACAGCAGCAGCAGCCGGCCUCGACUCGGCCUGGGCCGCCCGCAGCUGCGGCCUCGGCCCAGCUCGCGCGUGGCUGCCCCCGCCGCUGCCGGCCUCGCAGCUCUUUCGGCCCAGCGGCCCGGUAGUGCGCUAGGGUUUGGAUCUGGCCCGUCCGUGAGGAUCCGACGGCCAGCCGCGCGUUUCGCUCGAACAAAAUAGGCCGCAGGCCAUCGGGAGGAAAACCCUAGCAUUCAUUUCCCCUGCGCCGCUCGCUGCCUCUGUCUCUUUCUCGCGCGCACUCCGGCGGCGGGCCACCGUGCCGCGCCGAUCGCCGGCGACGGCGACGAGCGCCACCGCGCCACGCUGCGCCACGCGAGCCACCUCCUUUCUCCUCCCUCUGUCUCUCCCCAUCUCCCGCAACAGAGAGCGUGAGAGAGCAGAAGGGCACAGCCAGCCUUCCCGAUGCGGCGGAUGGGGCCACGCCGGCCAUCGGCGACAGCGUGGAGCCGCGCUGUGCAAGCCUUCCCUUUCCUCCUUCCUUUCUCUUUGUCACCCAUCCACCACCUGCUUCUAUUGGAGAGAGAGCCGCGAGCAGCGGCGCGCGAUACGGCGGCGCCCUCCCUGUCCCCUUUGUCGGCGUGCGCGAGCACCUCGAUGGUGAACGCGCCGCCGUCAAACGGCUCGUUGGUGGUGCCUGUACUUUGCCCCUGUAGGGGGUGGUUCUUCGUCCCUGUCGCCUCGGCUUGCCGAUGCGCGACGGGAUCGAGAGGAACAGGCGCGGCCUUACGGCGGCGCUCUUUACCGGCGAGGCCCGAGGACAUACUCCGGUUUACUUUUCUGGUUCUUUUGUUUGCUUUUCUUUGCCCUGUUUAGGGUUCUUUUGGGGAGGGGAUAAACUAUUCGUUGAUUUCUUUCUACCAAAAAUCUUCUAGCCCGAUCUGGCUAUCUGAUACCAUUGAUAGAUCCUUCGGAUCGGAGUAGGCUAGAUCAUCCGGUGAACCUACCUUCUCCAGGUGCUGACGAGCUCGAUCCAGCACCGGCCAUGGUGAUGGCGGAGUGUGGGCGAGGUGGUGGCGGCGGAGCUUCCCGUCGGCCUAGCGCAAACCCUAGAUCGGAUUGGUGUGUUGGUGGUGUUGUGGUGCACGGUCAAUCUUGUGAUGCGUGCCCCGGCACCCCACCUCUUUAUAUUACGCUGACGACAGGGGCCCACCAACCAUGGUUUGGUUGGGCGCCCCCAAUCAGGGCGCGAGUCAGGGGCCCGUUCGACCCGUUGGGUUCGAACGGGAUAGAGAUCAAUCUAACAGGUAUUUCUCACUAGUCCUAUGGACUUUGACGCACAAGGUGUUUAUGCUGAUUUGGAUGGAGUUAUUUACUUUCUUCGACUACUGGAGGGAAUUUGGAUCAAGGUGGAGAUUGUUAAAUUGUGUUCCAAAUCAUACUGUGUUGGACUAGACGUAUUACAACCGGUGUGGGCCUUUGCGUUGACGUCGACGCGUACGAGUACAACUCGUUUACUUGUCCUCCAAGGACUCUCAUGUAUUGCCCUCUUAUAUACCCCAUGUAGUCGCACCUCAGACGGCCUGUCGUCUCGUGCUUGUAAUACUCCUCCUCACAGUGAUUGCGCCUUCGUGCGUCCGUGGUUUUCUCCGGCAAGGGUUUUCACGUAAAAAUCCUUGUCUCUCUGUCUCGUUUAUUUCUCGUUAUUAUUUAGUCUAACUUAUUCUCCACUAUGAUUAGCCUUACUCGUACGCGGUACGCGCCUUCCAACUUUUUUGCCAUGUGCAGGCUACGUCAUAAGCCUAAUCUAUGCGCUGUGAAUCAGAAAGCCGAUGCUUCUCUGUUGAAAAGAAAAGGGGCCGACGAGUGAUCAUCGAUGACAGCAUGUCAAAGGUUACACUACUCACAAGAUUCCAAGACAUCACCCGGUUUAGCAUAAAAACAGUGUUCAUAUUGCUUUCGUUUCGCUAGAGCCAGAGCCUUCCGCACAGGAGUAUGUAUGUAUCUGACCGUCCGCCACUUCCAACGCACUCAGUUAACGCAGUCAGCUAUUUUUUUUCUACAGGAAUAUUCACCUAUCAUGUGAUUUCGAUCGAGGAGCCCUCCUAUAAAAUUUUGAACUCGCUCCCUCGAUCCAAACUUUGCGUCUUUGCCGGGACGAAUGAUCCGUCACCUUGAGGUCAAACCAACUCAGACGGCAAGAGUCCACAUAAGUCUUGUCAUGGCCUGAGCCCGAUCUACCAAACACGCACGGUCUGCAUGUGCACUGCAGGUUAGUCAGUGAGUCUGUUCUUCCUUGUUCUUGGGUAAAAAUAUCUCCGCUUGUUCGGCCUAAAUAACUUUCUUCUAAUCUUGCUGCAUAUGUAGGCAUACCGCCCGUCUGAACCAUGUGGCCGCAUGCAUAUUCAGUUGGUGCAGAGGCCGAAAGAGUAGUAAGUAAAUUUCCUCCUUUCCGAAAAGAAGAACCCGUGGCCAGCUGCUAAGGUUGCUACAGACAAUAGAUGCUCUGCAGCAAUGUAUAACUAGCUGAAAGCUUUUCUUUUAAUUCCAUGGUUAAGCUUGAAGAAAUACGCACAAUCAUUCGCGCCCUGCUGGAUUCGUUUCGUUCUAGCUGUGCCGCAUUUGCUAUUCUGCAUGCAUCUCUACACUGACUAGAUGGAGCUUGUCUGUCAGGAAUCGGGAUUUGCUAGCAUUGCAUGCCGUGUGUAUCCGAUGCCUGCCCUUUUAGGCCUUUGCUACAUGCAGAAAAAAAAAGGACACAGCAGCAUCUAAAAUCUAUAAUAGAGUAAAGGUACUAAUUGGACCAUUCCGGUUAUAUAGUUAAAAUUGAGCAAUCGGACUCCCCCAACAUGCAACGAGGCCUCAAUGAUUAAGCUUGGUUUGGUCACAAAUAUAGUACUACUACGUACUACAAAUCUCACUUCUGGAGACGAACAAGAAUACCAGCUGAGACAGAGCUGAAUUACCAGGUGUCAAGGAGACGCAAGUCACAUUCAGUCUUGGCAGUAAUUAAUUAAAUCGUCCAAACAACAACGCGAGCAGUAUCUGCCAACUUUUUUUUU
RNAcentral lists this long non-coding RNA (9160 nucleotides) under Triticum aestivum (bread wheat). RNAcentral describes it as "long non-coding RNA (TAES_LNC005791)". Lineage: Eukaryota; Viridiplantae; Streptophyta; Magnoliopsida; Poales; Poaceae. The record is from RNAcentral.